Long non-coding RNA from Scylla paramamosain (green mud crab), 981 nucleotides. RefSeq lists it as uncharacterized. NCBI's taxonomy places the organism in Eukaryota, Metazoa, Arthropoda, Malacostraca, Decapoda, Portunidae. The transcript is spliced from 2 exons. The record is from RefSeq and is a predicted model, not a curated record.
GAGAGAGAGAGAGAGAGAGAGAGAGAGAGAGAGAGAGUAAACAAAUCUUUAGAACCGAAUACUAACCUGGCGAAGCUUCACAUAGAACAGACGGGGUUCGAACCAAGACGAGGUGAGUGGCGGGUGUCGAUGUCGUGAGGAGGAGAGAUCCGGAGACGCACAAUAGUUCAUCCGUGCCUUCUACCACAACGCAUUUGUCUUCAACCUCGCAGGAGCACGAUAGCCGCGAGGUGAUCACAUCAGAUACAGACGCACAAGCACUUGCCUCUACUACAACUCAACAUGUAUACUCCUAACCCAUACGUGGUCCCCACCGCCGCGUACGCUCCCCCCGUUGCUGUGGUGGCUCCUGCCCAGGGUGUGGUGAUGGCGGCGCCGCAGCCGCCACCCGUUGUGAUACAGCAGGGCCCGCCCCCACCGCAGAUAGUAACCUACCAAGCAGCUCCUCCUCCAGUUGUGUACGGCCCAGCACCUGUCAUGGGAGCUCAAGGCGCGACGGUGGUGGUCACCAACAAUCCGCCAAAGAGGCGUCGCCCUCAGCCUGCACCUAAGAAGAGCGGCGGGUUUUUGUCGUCGCUGUUCUGAAAAGUUGACUCGGCAACAAGACGCUGCUGGCGCAGUGUUGGAUUUCAAGGUGUUGGCCAACAAUGGUCGUUUUGAGUCUAGUCUGGCUUUAAUUUUAGUUUAAUACAUUGCGGUCAUUAUUAGUUUUUAUGUAAAUGAAGUACUUAUUGUUACUGUUGAAACAUUGUAUAAUUGGCGUAUAAUUGGCACGUGAGGUUGCACUAGCCACAGUGGGUAGUUACUGAGCAAUUCAUUCACUGCAUUUAAAUGUUAGACUACUUAGCAGUCAAGAGAUGCAGGUGUGUUUAGCAGUCAGGACAUGCAGGCAUGUUUAAUAGUUUCUGUAGACUGUGUAGUCACUGUGUAGUCAGUCUUAAUUUAAAUAUUUUAAUCCCUUAAUAAAACUUUCUCAAUCUU